Molecule: ribosomal RNA, 496 nt
Filed under: uncultured bacterium
Lineage: Bacteria
Description: partial 16S ribosomal RNA
Rfam family: Bacterial small subunit ribosomal RNA
Source: RNAcentral
AUGAACGCUGGCGGCGUGCCUAAUACAUGCAAGUCGAGCGAACGGACGAGAAGCUUGCUUUUCUGAUGUUAGCGGCGGACGGGUGAGUAACACGUGGAUAACCUACCUAUAAGACUGGGAUAACCUCGGGAAACCGGAGCUAAUACCGGAUAAUAUUUUGAACCGCAUGGUUCAAAAGUGGAAGACGGUCUUGCUGUCACUUAUAGAUGGAUCCGCGCUGCAUUAGCUAGUUGGUAAGGUAACGGCUUACCAAGGCAACGAUGCAUAGCCGACCUGAGAGGGUGAUCGGCCACACUGGAACUGAGACACGGUCCAGACUCCUACGGGAGGCAGCAGUAGGGAAUCUUCCGCAAUGGGCGAAAGCCUGACGGAGCAACGCCGCGUGAGUGAUGAAGGUCUUCGGAUCGUAAAACUCUGUUAUUAGGGAAGAACAUAUGUGUAAGUAACUGUGCACAUCUUGACGGUACCUAAUCAGAAAGCCACGGCUAACUACGUG